AUUGAACGCUGGCGGCAUGCCUUACACAUGCAAGUCGAACGGCAGCAUAGGAGCUUGCUCCUGAUGGCGAGUGGCGAACGGGUGAGUAAUAUAUCGGAACGUGCCCUAGAGUGGGGGAUAACUAGUCGAAAGACUAGCUAAUACCGCAUACGAUCUACGGAAGAAAGUGGGGGAUCGCAAGACCUCAUGCUGCUGGAGCGGCCGAUAUCUGAUUAGCUAGUUGGUGGGGUAAAAGCUCACCAAGGCGACGAUCAGUAGCUGGUCUGAGAGGACGACCAGCCACACUGGGACUGAGACACGGCCCAGACUCCUACGGGAGGCAGCAGUGGGGAAUUUUGGACAAGGGGGGCAACCCUGAUCCAGCAAUGCCGCGUGAGUGAAGAAGGCCUUCGGGUUGUAAAGCUCUUUUGUCAGGGAAGAAACGGUUCUGGAUAAUACCUGGAGCUAAUGACGGUACCUGAAGAAUAAGCACCGGCUAACUACGUGCCAGCCGCCGCCGUAA
RNAcentral lists this ribosomal RNA (502 nucleotides) under uncultured bacterium. RNAcentral's name for it is "partial 16S ribosomal RNA". It matches the Rfam family "Bacterial small subunit ribosomal RNA", at positions 30 to 523 of the family's 1533-position model. The record is from RNAcentral.